Saccoglossus kowalevskii is the source of this 1341-nucleotide non-coding RNA. The record is from RefSeq and is a predicted model, not a curated record. Lineage: Eukaryota; Metazoa; Hemichordata; Enteropneusta; Harrimaniidae.
UACGAGGACCGUUCGUAAAGACGAACAGUUAAUGCUCUCACAAUCGACUCGAUUACGUCCACCGUGAGCUUAUUCUUCCAAGACCUACCGUACACACACAGAAUACAUUUUUACAUCAUUAUCGAAAAUGCGUGAAUGUAUAUCAAUCCACGUCGGACAGGCUGGUGUCCAAAUCGGCAAUGCAUGCUGGGAAUUGUACUGUCUGGAACACGGUAUCCAGCCUGAUGGCCAGAUGCCAAGUGACAAGACCAUUGGUGGCGGUGACGAUUCUUUCAAUACUUUCUUCAGUGAGACUGGAGCUGGGAAACACGUGCCACGUGCAGUGUUUGUAGAUCUGGAACCUACAGUAGUGGAUGAAGUACGGACUGGUACAUACCGUCAACUGUUCCACCCAGAACAACUGAUCACUGGUAAAGAAGAUGCCGCCAACAACUACGCACGUGGCCACUACACCAUUGGGAAAGAAAUCAUCGAUCUGGUGUUGGACAGAGUACGAAAACUAGCUGACCAGUGUACCGGUUUACAAGGGUUCUUAGUCUUCCACAGCUUCGGUGGUGGCACUGGGUCCGGUUUUACUUCGCUUUUGAUGGAACGUCUGUCUGUUGACUAUGGCAAGAAGUCGAAGCUUGAGUUUGCCGUUUAUCCAGCCCCACAAGUGUCGACAGCGGUUGUCGAACCAUAUAAUUCAAUCCUGACAACCCACACAACCCUGGAGCAUUCAGACUGUGCUUUCAUGGUCGACAACGAGGCCAUCUACGAUAUAUGUCGUCGGAAUUUGGACAUAGAACGUCCAACCUACACCAAUCUCAACCGUCUGAUUGGUCAAAUCGUCUCUUCCAUUACUGCUUCCCUGCGUUUUGAUGGCGCCCUUAAUGUCGAUUUGACUGAGUUUCAGACCAAUUUAGUACCCUAUCCACGUAUUCACUUCCCGUUGGCUACAUAUGCCCCUGUGAUUUCUGCUGAGAAGGCCUACCACGAGCAGUUGUCCGUUUCUGAGAUCACCAACGCCUGCUUCGAGCCAGCCAACCAGAUGGUGAAAUGCGAUCCACGUCACGGCAAGUACAUGGCUUGCUGUCUUUUAUUCCGUGGGGAUGUCGUACCAAAAGAUGUCAACGCAGCCAUCGCUACGAUCAAGACCAAACGUACAAUCCAGUUUGUCGACUGGUGCCCAACUGGUUUCAAAGUUGGUAUCAACUACCAACCACCAACCGUUGUUCCCGGUGGUGACUUGGCUAAAGUACAACGCGCCGUCUGCAUGUUGAGCAACACCACAGCCAUCGCCGAGGCCUGGCUCGUCUCGACCACAAAUUCGACUUGAUGUACGCUAAGCGUGCUUUCGUC